AGAGUUUGAUCAUGGCUCAGAUUGAACGCUGGCGGCAGGCCUAACACAUGCAAGUCGAGCGGUAGCACAGAGAGCUUGCUCUCGGGUGACGAGCGGCGGACGGGUGAGUAAUGUCUGGGAAACUGCCUGAUGGAGGGGGAUAACUACUGGAAACGGUAGCUAAUACCGCAUAACGUCGCAAGACCAAAGUGGGGGACCUUCGGGCCUCAUGCCAUCAGAUGUGCCCAGAUGGGAUUAGCUAGUAGGUGGGGUAACGGCUCACCUAGGCGACGAUCCCUAGCUGGUCUGAGAGGAUGACCAGCCACACUGGAACUGAGACACGGUCCAGACUCCUACGGGAGGCAGCAGUGGGGAAUAUUGCACAAUGGGCGCAAGCCUGAUGCAGCCAUGCCGCGUGUGUGAAGAAGGCCUUCGGGUUGUAAAGCACUUUCAGCGGGGAGGAAGGCGNCGAUUGACGUUACCCGCAGAAGAAGCACCGGCUAACUCCGUGCCAGCAGCCGCGGUAAUACGGAGGGUGCAAGCGUUAAUCGGAAUUACUGGGCGUAAAGCGCACGCAGGCGGUCUGUCAAGUCGGAUGUGAAAUCCCCGGGCUCAACCUGGGAACUGCAUUCGAAACUGGCAGGCUAGAGUCUUGUAGAGGGGGGUAGAAUUCCAGGUGUAGCGGUGAAAUGCGUAGAGAUCUGGAGGAAUACCGGUGGCGAAGGCGGCCCCCUGGACAAAGACUGACGCUCAGGUGCGAAAGCGUGGGGAGCAAACAGGAUUAGAUACCCUGGUAGUCCACGCCGUAAACGAUGUCGAUUUGGAGGUUGUGCCCUUGAGGCGUGGCUUCCGGAGCUAACGCGUUAAAUCGACCGCCUGGGGAGUACGGCCGCAAGGUUAAAACUCAAAUGAAUUGACGGGGGCCCGCACAAGCGGUGGAGCAUGUGGUUUAAUUCGAUGCAACGCGAAGAACCUUACCUGGUCUUGACAUCCACAGAACUUUCCAGAGAUGGAUUGGUGCCUUCGGGAACUGUGAGACAGGUGCUGCAUGGCUGUCGUCAGCUCGUGUUGUGAAAUGUUGGGUUAAGUCCCGCAACGAGCGCAACCCUUAUCCUUUGUUGCCAGCGGUNNNGGCCGGGAACUCAAAGGAGACUGCCAGUGAUAAACUGGAGGAAGGUGGGGAUGACGUCAAGUCAUCAUGGCCCUUACGACCAGGGCUACACACGUGCUACAAUGGCAUAUACAAAGAGAAGCGACCUCGCGAGAGCAAGCGGACCUCAUAAAGUAUGUCGUAGUCCGGAUUGGAGUCUGCAACUCGACUCCAUGAAGUCGGAAUCGCUAGUAAUCGUAGAUCAGAAUGCUACGGUGAAUACGUUCCCGGGCCUUGUACACACCGCCCGUCACACCAUGGGAGUGGGUUGCAAAAGAAGUAGGUAGCUUAACCUUCGGGAGGGCGCUUACCACUUUGUGAUUCAUGACUGGGGUGAAGUCGUAACAAGGUAACCGUAGGGGAACCUGCGGUUGGAUCACCU
This 1511-nucleotide ribosomal RNA is filed under the name Klebsiella pneumoniae. Its description in RNAcentral is "bacterial SSU rRNA". It matches the Rfam family "Bacterial small subunit ribosomal RNA". Lineage: Bacteria; Pseudomonadati; Pseudomonadota; Gammaproteobacteria; Enterobacterales; Enterobacteriaceae. The record is from RNAcentral.